This 1643-nucleotide long non-coding RNA is filed under the name Cinara cedri. The record is from RNAcentral. Lineage: Eukaryota; Metazoa; Arthropoda; Insecta; Hemiptera; Aphididae.
GUUGUAUUUGAUCGUUUUUGCGUUGUACACGCUGUAGUAGUUUACAUUUUACUAUAUCCGAUUUUUAAAUUUUGUGACUUAGUCACGGUUAUCGUUUUACUAAAAGUUUUGUGAAAAAUGACGAAACCAAUAGUCCUCAGUGACGAGGCGAAAAACAACAGGAAUAACAAGAUAUUUUGAAAACUAAUAAAAAAUUAAAUUUUUUUUUUUAAAAUAGUUCAACACGCACAAUGUGAGUUUUUAUACGAAAUAUUUAAUUUAAGCAUAAGUGUAAGAGUAAACCAGUACGAUAAAUUUUGCGCGAGUUUAAUAUGGCGUAAUAAGUCAUUGCAUCAAUUACACCGUCUUUCAAAAAUCCAAAAACAAUUUUUUACGAUUUUUACGCUUUCAAUGUAAUGUACAGAACUCCUCGUUCUAGCUAUGAUAGUGUACAUGGUUUUUUCACUAUUAUAAUUACGCCUCUAAUAGGAUAAUGCGUAUAAAUUAUUAGUUGAAAAGGUUUUGAAUAUUUGGUUUUCAUACGAAAUUAUUAAAUAACGUUGUGGAUUGCCAGAAUUAAUAGAAUUAAUAAAUUUUAAAAUUAAUUUGCCCAAUGUAAGACAUAAAUCUCUUUACCGAAUCCACCCAGUAUUUCAUACAAUUAUAUGGCACUAUACGUGUUAAUGUCGACUGGCAAUACUCGUACAUUAAUAAUAUAGAUUUUUUUUCACUCGUCAUCCAAUGUUCUUAAUAAUGUAUUUUAAUAUUGAAAUGUUGUAUGUUUGUGCGUUGUAUAUUCUUCUUUUUGUAACACUUAUUUAUGUACGUAUUUUAUUGUUUUUUUUUUUUUUUAAAUUUUUAAACGUAUCAGUCAUUUUAUAUUAAAUUAUGUAAAAUGGAAUUGUUCUGUAAUAAAGAGUAUUAUUGUUAUAAAAAACUCAAAUAUUUAAUUUGAUUCAACUAGAUGAACGAUGAUAAAAUUUAUAUGAUUUUUUUUUUAUCGUUAAUAAUAUUUAACUAAACGUAUGUAUUUAUAAGUAGAAUAUAUUACACGUCAGCAUCAUUAAUAUGUAUAAUUAUGAUAUUUUAUGCAUUGGUUAGGAAUUCUGUACAAUACCUGACCAUUUCUAAAGAAGUGUACGGUAUAUUUUUUUUCACAAGCAUUCCUUGAGUAUUUUAGGCAAUAACUAAGAAUUUCAUAUUACGACAAACCUAUUUAUUUUUAUUUUACUGACUAAUUUUAUUAAACUUAUUGAUUAUCUUUUAUUUUAAUCAAUUGUUUUUUUUUGUUUUUUUUUUUUUUUUAGUGAUAAAUACUACAAUUGAUUUGAAUUCAGAAUACCCUACUGAUAGAGCAAAUUUCAAGACAACAUUACUGAUUCUAACUUAAAGAAACAAAUCAUCGCGUAUGGUCCAUAUAAACCAACAAACAAUCAAUAUCUUUUGAAAAAUGUCUGUUUGAAAAAUUCUGGUCGUUCUUUUUCAAUUGUUUUUCGGUUGUAAUGAAGUAAGAUAUACUGUGAAACUUGUUGGCUCUAUGCAAACAGAUUGAAUGCAAAUUUCAAGCAUAACUGGAUUCAUGGUAUAUUUGACUGGAAAAAUUGGAGUACUAUUUUGAUAUUUCAAUGUAAUAUUGAGGUAAAAUCGAGAAAAAUGAACAUACC